GCUUGACUUGGCAUAACACCAUUUGUACUACCAUGAGAAAAACCAUUCCUUUUCAUAUAUGACGGUUGCUGAGCAGCUUCCCAUGAAUACUUGAUGUGAAAUGGAGAUGGUGGUGCUGGAGGUACAGGCAAAUUUGAGGCAUAUUCAUAACACCAGCGGCCAUACUGCAAAUAGUUGAAGUAAUUGUCAUAGUUCCCACUUAGAUCAGAUUCGAGGCAUAUUCAUAACACCAGCGGCCAUACUGCAAAUAGUUGAAGUAAUUGUCAUAGUCCCCACUUAGAUCAGACAAAGCUUUCGAAGGAAUCCCAGCACCAUUUGUUGAGGCCAAAUCCCAGUUCAAAUCUUCAGAC
RNAcentral lists this long non-coding RNA (350 nucleotides) under Nicotiana benthamiana. RNAcentral's name for it is "long non-coding RNA (NBEN_LNC039269)". Lineage: Eukaryota; Viridiplantae; Streptophyta; Magnoliopsida; Solanales; Solanaceae. The record is from RNAcentral.